CGAGGGGCAGCAUGAACUUAGCUUGCUAAGUUUGAUGGCGACCGGCGCACGGGUGAGUAACACGUAUCCAACCUGCCGAUGACUCGGGGUUAGCCUUUCGAAAGAAAGAUUAAUACCCGAUGGCAUAGUUCUUCCGCAUGGUAGAAUUAUUAAAGAAUUUCGGUCAUCGAUGGGGAUGCGUUCCAUUAGGUUGUUGGCGGGGUAACGGCCCACCAAGCCUUCGAUGGAUAGGGGUUCUGAGAGGAAGGUCCCCCACAUUGGAACUGAGACACGGUCCAAACUCCUACGGGAGGCAGCAGUGAGGAAUAUUGGUCAAUGGACGAGAGUCUGAACCAGCCAAGUAGCGUGAAGGAUGACUGCCCUAUGGGUUGUAAACUUCUUUUAUACGGGAAUAAAGUGAGGCACGUGUGCCUUUUUGUAUGUACCGUAUGAAUAAGGAUCGGCUAACUCCGUGCCAGCAGCCGCGGUAAUACGGAGGAUCCGAGCGUUAUCCGGAUUUAUUGGGUUUAAAGGGAGCGUAGGCGGACGCUUAAGUCAGUUGUGAAAGUUUGCGGCUCAACCGUAAAAUUGCAGUUGAUACUGGGUGUCUUGAGUACAGUAGAGGCAGGCGGAAUUCGUGGUGUAGCGGUGAAAUGCUUAGAUAUCACGAAGAACUCCGAUUGCGAAGGCAGCCUGCUGGACUGUAACUGACGCUGAUGCUCGAAAGUGUGGGUAUCAAACAGGAUUAGAUACCCUGGUAGUCCACACAGUNAACGAUGAAUACUCGCUGUUUGCNAUAUACAGUAAGCGGCC
RNAcentral lists this ribosomal RNA (792 nucleotides) under uncultured bacterium. RNAcentral describes it as "bacterial SSU rRNA". It matches the Rfam family "Bacterial small subunit ribosomal RNA", at positions 63 to 848 of the family's 1533-position model. The record is from RNAcentral.